GUUAAAUCUUGUCCUCUUUACAUUCCAAAUAUACCCAGAAUCUGACAAUUUAUCAUCAUUUCCCAUGAGGUCCCAUGAGAGAUGUUGAGGUCCCAUUAUCUUUCCCCUGGAUUAUUUCAGUAGCUUCCUAACUGGACUCUCCAUUUUCUCCAUCACCAACUCCUACCUGAUACUCUAUUCUCAACCAGCAGCCCACAUGAGCUGUAGAAACAGUAAGUCAUACUAUGUCAUUCCUCUACUCAAAGCCCUUCAGUAAAUUUACUUUAACUGAGUAAUUUACUCAGUUAAAGUAAAGUCAAAAAGAUUCCACAUAACCUGGCCCUCCAUCAUCUACCUCUUUGUUCUCAUCUUUACUACCAUCCCCUCACUCCAUUCCAGCCACACCAGCCUCCUUGCUGUUCCUCGAGCACCAGGCAAGCUCCCAGCCCAGGGCCUCUGCACUUGAACUUUCUGCCUGUUUCACUCACCCCUCUGAAAUCCCCCAUGGCUCACUCCUUCAUCUCUAUAACAGGCAGCUUUUAAGAUGGCCCACAGUGAUCCUCCUCCUGGUAUUAACACCCCUGUGUAAUCUCCUCCCAUUGAGUGUGGGCAGGACCUAUCACAGGUGAUGGAUGUCACUUCUGUGAUUAGGCUACGUAAGGCAGUAACUUCUGUCUUGGCAGCAGAUUCCCUCCCUUGCUGGCUUUGGGGAAGCAAGUUGGCAUGUUGGAGAGACCCACAUGGCAAAGAAAUGAGGGUGUCUAGCUAGGAACUGAGACCCUCAAUCCAGCAGACCUAGAGGAACUGAAAUUCUGUGAACAACCACGUGAGCUUGGAAGCUGAUCCUUCCCUCAUUGAGCCUUCAGAUAAGAACACAGCCCAGCCAGCACCUUGAUUAAAGACUUGUGAGAGAUCCUAAAGUAGAAGAUUGAGCUAAGCUAUGCCCAACUCCUGGACCACAGAAACUAGCCAUCGUUGUCUGACCUCAUCACUGAGUGAACUGCACCAGCUCCAAGGACCAUUGCCCAUCAAAGCAACUGACAAAUGCCACAUUCACAUAGAAAACAGGAAUAGUGAAAGCAAAGUCUUGCAUUGUGACUACUGGGGAUUGAGGAAGAGUAAAAUGCUCUGAUUCGCCUGUCUUGUAGUGACCUGCAAUUUCCAUUUCAAUGCAAUCAAAGGAGGAUGGAGGUAAUCUCAACUUUGGUAGCCCUUAAAGUGCUACCCUGGAUCAAUGGCAGGUGCAAAGGAGGAUGUAGCACUGCAAUUGGCCCAGCCUGUGUCACGUGUCCGUGCCUAUGGCGAGGGGUAGUGCACCAAGAUUUGUAGCCCCACUAGAAACAUGUAGAACAAGAGAUGGAUAGUUCCCACAAAAGGAAAUAAAAUGAUGAGACAGAAACAUCAGGUAACUUAUGUUAUUCCAAUGUGCAGAAAAAUCAUAAUGGGGCAAGAUACUCUGGGGAUAAGGGCAGUUGGUAUUGUAAGUGACAGUUUAACAGAUGCUCAUGGGGCAGUGCCCUGGUUAUAGCAAGACCUCUGGUUAAAGUGAGCCUUGUACCCAUCCAAGUCUUCUGUCUCCAUUCAAGGGGACAUACACGUGUUGAGGACUCUGGGAGGGCAUGUGUUGCAAAGGUGAUGGUCCCUGGAUGACCCACAUGGUAGGCAGCUCAACGCCAGUUCCCUUCCACUUCUCAGACUUACGCUUGUGCAGAUCUGGCUACAAAAAAUUAGCAGGAUCCUGUGCAAGAAGAAAAUUCAAGACCCCUAAUUCAAAAUUAUUAAGGUUUGCAAGAUGACCACAGCAAUGCAUCAAACCAAGUAGGGGAUCCCUCUGAGCACUGGACUUGCGCCAUUGCCCAGGUCCUGUGCUCACAUCACCAGUCCUGUCCUCAUGACAUAAAUUUCUUCCUCCUUGUCCCACCUAGGGGACAACAGUACCUUCUCCCCUCCUCCUCUGAGUCACUCCUGCACUACCUCUUCCUUCAUCCACAGCACACCCGCUUACACAGAAUUAAGAACUAAAAUCGGAAACAAAAAAAAACAAAAGAUCAAGACAGCCACUUCCCUCUGCAAGUUUAAAUCCAAAUAUCUUUGAGGCUAGAGAACUCUGUGAGGAAAAGAAAUUCACAUGUUUAAGAGUUUAUUCUUUAGCUGGGCAUUGUGGGGUGCAUCUGCAGUCCCAGCUACUCGGGGGCUGAGGCAGGAGGAUGGCUUGAGCCUGGGAGUUGAAGGCUGCAGUGAGCUAUGGUGCCACCACUGUACUCCAGCCUAGGUAACAGAGUCAGACUCUGUCUCUCAAAAACUUAAAAAUUAAAUUUAAAUAAAUAGUAUAUUCUUAAAGUGUCUCAUGGUGUUUACUCUCAUCCUUGCCCAGAAAUAACUCCAGUAUUCUUUGUGGGACU
This 2381-nucleotide long non-coding RNA is filed under the name Homo sapiens (human). RNAcentral describes it as "HSALNT0228463". Lineage: Eukaryota; Metazoa; Chordata; Mammalia; Primates; Hominidae. The record is from RNAcentral.